This 321-nucleotide ribosomal RNA is filed under the name uncultured eukaryote. Its description in RNAcentral is "partial 18S ribosomal RNA". It matches the Rfam family "Eukaryotic small subunit ribosomal RNA", at positions 1470 to 1796 of the family's 1831-position model. The record is from RNAcentral.
CCCUUAGAUGUUCUGGGCCGCACGCGUGCUACACUGAGUGGAUCAGCGGGUCAGGUUGCGCGAAAGCGUUUCCUAAUCUUUAAAUCCGCUCGUGAUGGGGAUUGACGGUUGCAAUUUUCUGUCAUGAACGAGGAAUACCAUGUAAGCGCGGGUCAUCAUCCCGCGCUGAAUACGUCCCUGCCCUUUGUACACACCGCCGUCGCUCCUACCGAUUGAGUGGUCCGGUGAGGCUUUGGGAUCUGAGCGGAAAGAGCGUUUCGCUGUUUCUGCUCGGAAAACUCAGUCGAACCUUAUCAUUUAGAGGAAGGAGAAGUCGUAACA